GACGAACGCUGGCGGCGUGCUUAACACAUGCGAGUCGAACGGAAAGGCCCUGCUUUUGUGGGGUGCUCGAGUGGCGAACGGGUGAGUAACACGUGAGUAACCUGCCCUUGACUUUGGGAUAACUUCAGGAAACUGGGGCUAAUACCGGAUAGGAGCUCCUGCUGCAUGGUGGGGGUUGGAAAGUUUCGGCGGUUGGGGAUGGACUGGCGGCUUAUCAGUUUGUUGGUGGGGUAGUGGCUUACCAAGGCUUUGACGGGUAGCCGGCCUGAGAGGGUGACCGGCCACAGUGGGACUGGGAUACGGCCCAGACUCGUACGGGAGGCAGCGGUGGGGAAUAUUGCAGAAUGGGCGGGAGCCUGAUGCAGCAACGCCGCGUGCGGGAUGACGGCCUUCGGGUUGUAAAGCGCUUUCGCCUGUGACGAAGCGGGAGUGACGGUAAUGGGUAAAGAAGCACCGGCUAACUACGUG
Molecule: ribosomal RNA, 468 nt
Filed under: uncultured bacterium
Lineage: Bacteria
Description: partial 16S ribosomal RNA
Rfam family: Bacterial small subunit ribosomal RNA
Source: RNAcentral